RNAcentral lists this ribosomal RNA (468 nucleotides) under uncultured bacterium. Its description in RNAcentral is "partial 16S ribosomal RNA". It matches the Rfam family "Bacterial small subunit ribosomal RNA", at positions 28 to 507 of the family's 1533-position model. The record is from RNAcentral.
GACGAACGCUGGCGGCGUGCUUAACACAUGCAAGUCGAACGGUGAUACGCCAGCUUUCUGGCGUGGAUCAGUGGCGAACAGGUGAGUAAAACGUGAGCAACAUCCCCCUGUCACUCGGGUAUGAGCUCGGGACACCGUCUAUAACACGGUACAAUACUGGCAUGCACGGGCUUGGUUUGGGAAGUACGUCGGUUUGGGCUCGGCUCGAGGCCUAUCAGCUUCAUGGUGAGGUAAUUGCUCACCAAGUCGACGACGGGUAGCCGGCCUGAGAGCGCGACCGGCCACACUGGGACUGCGACACGGCCCAGACUCCUACGGUCCGCAGCAGUGGGGAAUAUUGCGCAAUGGGCGAGAGCCUGAUGCAGCGACCCCGCGUGCGUGAUGACGUCCUUCUGGUGGUAAACCUCUGUCUGCAGGGAAGAAGCGAUAGUGACGGUACCUGCAGAAGAAGCCCCGGCUAACUACGUG